CAAUAGCGUAUAUUAAAGUUGUUGCGGUUAAAAAGCUCGUAGUUGGAUUUCUGUUGAGGAAGUCCGGUCCGCACUUUGUGCGUGAUCUGGUUCUGCCUCGGCAUCCUCGCGGGGAGCAUGCUGCGCUUGAUUGCGUGGUGUGGUAUUCGCGACUUUUACUUUGAGGAAAUUAGAGUGUUCACGGCAGACAAUUGUCUUGAAUACGUUAGCAUGGAAUAAUAAUAUAGGACCUUGGUUCUAUUUUGUUGGUUUCUAGAACUAAGGUAAUGAUUAAUAGGGAUAAUUGGGGGCAUUUGUAUUAACACGUCAGAGGUGAAAUUCUUGGAUUGUGUUACGACAAACUACUGCGAAAGCAUUUGCCAAGGAUGUUUUCAUUGA
RNAcentral lists this ribosomal RNA (378 nucleotides) under uncultured eukaryote. RNAcentral's name for it is "partial 18S ribosomal RNA". It matches the Rfam family "Eukaryotic small subunit ribosomal RNA", at positions 592 to 976 of the family's 1831-position model. The record is from RNAcentral.